AGCUGGCGUCUUCGGCGUCCGCAUUGUAAUCUCAAGAAGUGUUUUCCGCUUCGGACCAAGCCUAAGUCCCCUGGAAAGGGGCAUCAUAGAGGGUGAUAAUCCCGUACAUGGCUUGGAGCGCCCGAGGCUUUGUGAUACGCUUUCUAAGAGUCGAGUUGUUUGGGAAUGCAGCUCAAAAUGGGUGGUAAAUGCCAUCUAAGGCUAAAUAUUGGGGAGAGACCGAUAGCGAACAAGUACAGUGAUGGAAAGAUGAAAAGAACUUUGAAAAGAGAGUUAAACAGUACGUGAAAUUGCCAAAAGGGAAGGGUAGGAGGUCAGAGAUGCGGCCUGGGAUUCAGCCUUGCUUUUGCUUGGUGUUUUUCCCAGAUUGCAGGCCAACGUCGGUUUUGGGCACUGGAGAAGGGUAGGAGGAACGUGGCACCUCUCGGGGUGUGUUAUAGCCUCCUACUGGAUACAGCGACCGAGACCGAGGACUGCAGCGUACUCGCAAGA
This 492-nucleotide ribosomal RNA is filed under the name uncultured Pseudozyma. Its description in RNAcentral is "LSU rRNA". It matches the Rfam family "Eukaryotic large subunit ribosomal RNA", at positions 120 to 691 of the family's 3401-position model. The record is from RNAcentral. Lineage: Eukaryota; Fungi; Basidiomycota; Ustilaginomycetes; Ustilaginales; Ustilaginaceae.